RNAcentral lists this ribosomal RNA (1726 nucleotides) under Salmonella enterica. Its description in RNAcentral is "partial 23S ribosomal RNA". It matches the Rfam family "Bacterial large subunit ribosomal RNA", at positions 1225 to 2925 of the family's 2925-position model. The record is from RNAcentral. Lineage: Bacteria; Pseudomonadati; Pseudomonadota; Gammaproteobacteria; Enterobacterales; Enterobacteriaceae.
UGGGUAGGGGAGCGUUCUGUAAGCCUGCGAAGGUGGCCUGUGAGGGUUGCUGGAGGUAUCAGAAGUGCGAAUGCUGACAUAAGUAACGAUAAAGCGGGUGAAAAGCCCGCUCGCCGGAAGACCAAGGGUUCCUGUCCAACGUUAAUCGGGGCAGGGUGAGUCGACCCCUAAGGCGAGGCCGAAAGGCGUAGUCGAUGGGAAACGGGUUAAUAUUCCCGUACUUGGUGUUACUGCGAAGGGGGGACGGAGAAGGCUAUGUUGGCCGGGCGACGGUUGUCCCGGUUUAAGCGUGUAGGUGUGUGUUCCAGGUAAAUCCGGUUCACUUUAACACUGAGGCGUGAUGACGAGGCACUACGGUGCUGAAGCAACAAAUGCCCUGCUUCCAGGAAAAGCCUCUAAGCAUCAGGUAACAUCAAAUCGUACCCCAAACCGACACAGGUGGUCAGGUAGAGAAUACCAAGGCGCUUGAGAGAACUCGGGUGAAGGAACUAGGCAAAAUGGUGCCGUAACUUCGGGAGAAGGCACGCUGACACGUAGGUGAAGUGAUUUACUCAUGGAGCUGAAGUCAGUCGAAGAUACCAGCUGGCUGCAACUGUUUAUUAAAAACACAGCACUGUGCAAACACGAAAGUGGACGUAUACGGUGUGACGCCUGCCCGGUGCCGGAAGGUUAAUUGAUGGGGUCAGCGCAAGCGAAGCUCCUGAUCGAAGCCCCGGUAAACGGCGGCCGUAACUAUAACGGUCCUAAGGUAGCGAAAUUCCUUGUCGGGUAAGUUCCGACCUGCACGAAUGGCGUAAUGAUGGCCAGGCUGUCUCCACCCGAGACUCAGUGAAAUUGAACUCGCUGUGAAGAUGCAGUGUACCCGCGGCAAGACGGAAAGACCCCGUGAACCUUUACUAUAGCUUGACACUGAACAUUGAGCCUUGAUGUGUAGGAUAGGUGGGAGGCUUUGAAGUGUGGACGCCAGUCUGCAUGGAGCCGGCCUUGAAAUACCACCCUUUAAUGUUUGAUGUUCUAACGUGGACCCGUGAUCCGGGUUGCGGACAGUGUCUGGUGGGUAGUUUGACUGGGGCGGUCUCCUCCUAAAGAGUAACGGAGGAGCACGAAGGUUGGCUAAUCCUGGUCGGACAUCAGGAGGUUAGUGCAAUGGCAUAAGCCAGCUUGACUGCGAGCGUGACGGCGCGAGCAGGUGCGAAAGCAGGUCAUAGUGAUCCGGUGGUUCUGAAUGGAAGGGCCAUCGCUCAACGGAUAAAAGGUACUCCGGGGAUAACAGGCUGAUACCGCCCAAGAGUUCAUAUCGACGGCGGUGUUUGGCACCUCGAUGUCGGCUCAUCACAUCCUGGGGCUGAAGUAGGUCCCAAGGGUAUGGCUGUUCGCCAUUUAAAGUGGUACGCGAGCUGGGUUUAGAACGUCGUGAGACAGUUCGGUCCCUAUCUGCCGUGGGCGCUGGAGAACUGAGGGGGGCUGCUCCUAGUACGAGAGGACCGGAGUGGACGCAUCACUGGUGUUCGGGUUGUCAUGCCAAUGGCACUGCCCGGUAGCUAAAUGCGGAAGAGAUAAGUGCUGAAAGCAUCUAAGCACGAAACUUGCCCCGAGAUGAGUUCUCCCUGAGACUUUAGGUCUCCUGAAGGAACGUUGAAGACGACGACGUUGAUAGGCCGGGUGUGUAAGCGCAGCGAUGCGUUGAGCUAACCGGUACUAAUGAACCGUGAGGCUUAACCUUACA